ACGAUGAGAACUAGAUGUCGGGAGGAUUUAGCCUUUCGGUGUCGCAGCCAACGCAUUAAGUUCUCCGCCUGGGGAGUACGCCGGCAACGGUAAAACUCAAAGGAAUUGACGGGGACCCGCACAAGCGGUGGAGCAUGUGGUUUAAUUCGAUGCAACGCGAAGAACCUUACCUGCCCUUGACAUUGACAGAAUCCUGUAGAGAUACGGGAGUGCCUUCGGGCCUGGAAAACAGGUGCUGCAUGGCUGUCGUCAGCUCGUGUCGUGAGAUGUUGGGUUAAGUCCCGCAACGAGCGCAACCCUUAUCCUUAGUUGCCAGCGGUUCGGCCGGGAACUCUAGGGAGACUGCCAGCGACAAGCUGGAGGAAGGCGGGGACGACGUCAAGUCAUCAUGGCCCUUAUGGGCAGGGCUACACACGUGCUACAAUGGCCGGUACAGAGGGCUGCAAACCCGCGAGGGGGAGCCAAUCUCAGAAAGCCGGUCGUAGUCCGGAUCGGAGUCUGCAACUCGACUCCGUGAAGUCGGAAUCGCUAGUAAUCGCGAAUCAGCAACGUCGCGGUGAAUACGUUCCCGGGUCUUGUACACACCGCCCGUCACACCAUGGAAGUAGGUUGCACCAGAAGUAGGUAGUCUAACCCUCGGGAGGACGCUUACCACGGUGUGGCUUAUGACUGGGGUGAAGUCGUAACAAGGUAGCCGUA
Molecule: ribosomal RNA, 699 nt
Filed under: uncultured bacterium
Lineage: Bacteria
Description: bacterial SSU rRNA
Rfam family: Bacterial small subunit ribosomal RNA
Source: RNAcentral